This 77-nucleotide transfer RNA is filed under the name Klebsiella aerogenes. RNAcentral describes it as "tRNA-Val". It matches the Rfam family "tRNA". Rfam says of the family: Transfer RNA (tRNA) molecules are approximately 80 nucleotides in length. Their secondary structure includes four short double-helical elements and three loops (D, anti-codon, and T loops). RNAcentral also lists the same sequence under 11 other names. The record is from RNAcentral. Lineage: Bacteria; Pseudomonadati; Pseudomonadota; Gammaproteobacteria; Enterobacterales; Enterobacteriaceae.
GCGUUCGUAGCUCAGUUGGUUAGAGCACCACCUUGACAUGGUGGGGGUCGGUGGUUCGAGUCCACUCGGACGCACCA